GCUAAACCCCAAGGCGAAACGAAAGUGAAGCGGGAGGGAAGAAAGGGCGAGGUUCUUCCUCUCUUUUCUUUCUCUCUUCGAUAGGGCCGAUCCGGUUCGGGGUGCGCGAGUGGGAGUCCGGGGGGCGGUAGUAUUCUCGUCUCCUCGGAGGCGUGGUGCUGCCGUUUUUCCCUCUCCCUCCUCUCCCCUCGAUUCGACUCCUUGAUAUGAGUACGGCGCAGGCCCGGGGCUCGCACGCGACCUCCCCGCCGUUAUGCUAAGCCGUUCGUUUUUUCUCGACGUUCGCGAGUGCGGCUCGUCUUUGUGGCGUUUUCCCGAACUCUCUCUCCUCAUUCUCGCCCUCGGGUGCGUCGUUUUUGCGGCGCGCUCGGUGGUGGUCUGAGGAAGGGGGCUAGGGGGGCGUUCGCGGGCUCCGUCAGUGCGACGUUCGGGGCGACGGCUCGCUGGCGUGGGACGAGCAGCGGGUUCUUGGAGCGCAUAUUCUAGUACCCGAAAGAUGGUGAUCUAUGCUUGGCCAGGAUGAAGCCAGAGGAAACUCUGGUGGAGGUCC
RNAcentral lists this ribosomal RNA (550 nucleotides) under Sardoniscus verhoeffi. RNAcentral's name for it is "partial 28S ribosomal RNA". The stretch from base 488 to 550 matches the Rfam family "Eukaryotic large subunit ribosomal RNA", at positions 814 to 876 of the family's 3401-position model. The record is from RNAcentral. Lineage: Eukaryota; Metazoa; Arthropoda; Malacostraca; Isopoda; Oniscidae.